AACCUUAUGGACCUGCGGGCGUAUACCUGCGGAAGGAUCAUUACCUAGAGUUGUAGGCUUUGCCUGCUAUCUCUUACCCAUGUCUUUUGAGUACUUACGUUUCCUCGGCGGGUCCGCCCGCCGAUUGGACAAUUUAAACCAUUUGCAGUUGCAAUCAGCGUCUGAAAAAACUUUAAUAGUUACAACUUUUAACAAUGGAUCU
This 202-nucleotide unclassified non-coding RNA is filed under the name soil metagenome. RNAcentral describes it as "partial contains 5.8S ribosomal RNA, internal transcribed spacer 2, and large subunit ribosomal RNA". The record is from RNAcentral.